UUGCCACAUAUGGGUAGGCAACCUAAUCAGAUAUGAAAUGAAACUUUUGAUUAGACAAAGUGUAACACAAGCAUUCAAGCAUUUUAAGAGCCAAAAAAACCCUGUACUGAUCAAGCUGGAUCAAACUAUGAAAAGAUUACAAGCCAUACACUCUUCCAAUGCAAUAUAACAAUAAAAAUGCCCAUAAGCUGCAACAAAGGAAACAUUAAACAAUUAUGAAAAGAAAAGGUAAAUAGAAGAAAGGAAAGAUAAAUCUUCACCUUAAGAAAUUUAAAAAUCUGG
This 282-nucleotide unclassified non-coding RNA is filed under the name Hevea brasiliensis (rubber tree). The record is from RNAcentral. Lineage: Eukaryota; Viridiplantae; Streptophyta; Magnoliopsida; Malpighiales; Euphorbiaceae.